Molecule: long non-coding RNA, 936 nt
Organism: Apaloderma vittatum (bar-tailed trogon)
Lineage: Eukaryota; Metazoa; Chordata; Aves; Trogoniformes; Trogonidae
Exons: 5
Source: RefSeq, a predicted model, not a curated record
GAAAAGAAAAAAGGAAACGAAAACGCAGUAGAAGCAGAUCAUCAUCCGUUUCAUCCACGUCGUCUUCUAGCACUACAUCCACUUCUUCCUCCUCGUCACACUCAUCAUCAAGGUCAUCUUCCUCAAGUAGCAGAGAUUCUCCCAAGUCUAAAUCAAAGAAAAAGAAAAAAGAAAAACACAACAAAAAGAAAAGGAAAAAAGAAAACAAAAUGAAGAAGAAGAAAGAAAAAAAGAAAAAGAGAGAGAAAACAGGGCCUGUCCAGCUUUCCAAGUUCUUCAAAAACAAAAAGAAGAAUGAAAACUACAGCAUGAUAACUGGCAAGAAAAUUAAGAUGAGAAUAAAAAAGUCUAAGAAGGAUAAAGAGAGAGACCGGAACCGUGCAGAACUCCUUGAAUUUCUGAACUCUGCCUUAUAACGGAAGAGUGCUGACCGAGGACUUGUAAAUAAACCAAGCCACCCGUCAUCAUGCCUAGCAAAAUACUAAAAGGAAGCUCAGGGAAAAGGACGCCAAGUUUGACAAGACCAGACUCUCCUGCUGAGAUGACAAUCAGGAUGUCCUUUUUAAUAGCAAAACGAAGAUUCAUAUCCUCCUUUUGAGAUCCUAAGGUAAUAGCCAGGCUGUGGUGUUUUAGAAGAGCCUAAGAGCGUGUCAUUGACAAUGAUAAGAAAUGACACGCUGAAAUCCAGUAAUGUAUUUCUAUCCUAAAUGCAUGCAGAAUGCACUCUUAAUUUCAAAUGUCUUCAUGUUUCUAGUAGUUUAAGAAAAGCAGAGUAUUUGUAAAUGUCUGUUUGAAAGAUGAGGCAUUUCUAUAUGUAUAUUUUUUUCAGUAGUGGUUUUACUUGUCCUAAAGAGCAAGUUGAGUUUUGUAAAUAGAACGUGCUUUUACAUAAAUGAUUUUUUGACAGUUCAUUCACUAAUACAUUAUUUUCUUUCA